This 211-nucleotide long non-coding RNA is filed under the name Elaeis guineensis (African oil palm). RNAcentral's name for it is "long non-coding RNA (EGUI_LNC076209)". The record is from RNAcentral. Lineage: Eukaryota; Viridiplantae; Streptophyta; Magnoliopsida; Arecales; Arecaceae.
CAAUCACCGGGGCGUGCCACGUGGAGUCUGCCGCGGAGAGUGGAGCGGCGUCCGUUGUCGCGACUUGCCAGAGGAUGGAAGAAUCGUGCGGUAUCCAUCGCAAGAAGUGGAGUAGGAUCGUGGCCAUCAUUGUGGCCUGCCAGGGAGUGAUGGAGCCACGUGGAAUCCAUCGUAGGAAGUGGAGCAGUGCUGUGGCCGUUACCGUGGCCUG